This is a long non-coding RNA of Ctenopharyngodon idella (grass carp), 2168 nucleotides long. RefSeq lists it as uncharacterized. Lineage: Eukaryota; Metazoa; Chordata; Actinopteri; Cypriniformes; Xenocyprididae. The transcript is spliced from 3 exons. The record is from RefSeq and is a predicted model, not a curated record.
CAGAAAAAGAACACAGGGUAACACUUUAUUUUACAGUGCUGUAGUUAUUACAUGUACUUACUAUAGUAAUAUUAGUACAUUAUGCAUAAUUACAAGUAACUAACCCUAAACCCCUAACUGAAACUCUAUAGUAAGUGCAUGUAGUUAAUUAAUAGUACACAGUACUUAUUUAAGUAAUUACAAUGUAACUACGGCACUGUAAAAUAAAGUGUAACCGAACACAGAUAACCCCUAAGAUAAACAGUAACAAAUUGUAUUUUUUUUAAGUAUCAGUGUUUUUUUUUUUUUCCCAAUGUAUUAGCAGUUCCUCAACUUCUGCAUGUUGCGUUCCACCUCACAUCCUCCCAUGGCAGGUGCUCUCACUCCAAAUAACACAGCGGAAACUUCAGAUCCACGUCACAGGAGCUCUUGGAAGGGGAAUUGAGUUCAUCGCUUUGCCUUCUCGAGUGGAAGAUGGAACGUCAUAUGCUAUCAAUGAACGAAUUAUGACAAAAGAGCCUCCGGUCGCGUUCGAGAUGGCAGAGCUUCCCAUCAGUGCGGUCUCUGUGGUAUUUGCUCUAUAUGUGUCAGGGAGGUCACAGAUGUGGCGCGGGCUGGAUGCUUCUGAGAGCUUCCUCAAGCAAACACAAUUUAGCAUGGUGACGGGGGCAGUGGCACAAAGCUGGCUGGAUUAAGGGGCUGUCACACUCUGUCUCCCACAACAGGAUAACAAGCAGUGCUCAAGCAGCUUCCCCCAGGGGGUAAAAGAGACCUGCCUUUUGGUGUGGGGGCCACAGAUGGUCAGAAGCCCAGUGGACACAGCCCAUUAUAGCAGAACAUUGCAUGGCAGGCCAGCGGAGGAAAUCUGAACACUACUGUCCUGUCUGCAAGAUGAGGUGGUGGCCUGCUGAAGGAAGCAGGGCGGAAAUGUGAAGUGCCCUGACAUUUCAACAGACACGUCUGAAAUCACAAGCCGUCACUCCCAAAGGCCACUCGGCUCAACAAGACUCACAGUGCUGGUGAUAGACCUCUGUUGUUGGGUAAUUUUCUUCGAGGUCACACAGAAGAACAAUAAAGCGGCAUAAUACUACACCACAGAAACAAAGACAACAAAGAGUAAGAGAACAAAAAGACGUUGGAGCAUCUAAUUGGAAUAAAGAAUUGAUUAAUUUAACCAGCAUUGAGAGAACCUAUUCAAUAUGGGCCACAGCAGAAUGACGGCACAUAAUCUAACUUAAUCUUUAAAGGGAACUAUUAAGCCUUUAUUGAGCAUUCUAAUGAGAUCUUUAAUUAACAUCUAUAAGUAAUUUCCAGACUUGAUAUAAUUUGAUUCAGAAGUGAAAAGUAAUCACAAAUUGAAUAGUAGAGUACUAAGUUCUUCAUUACUAAUGUCAUCAUUUACCAGUGUUUUUGUUAACUAAAACUAUUAAAAAUCAUUUUGAACUUGAAAAUUAGAAAUGUUGCCUUGCCAACUUAUUGAAAUUAAUAAGUUGAAGUACUAACCCCUGGUUUCACAGAUAAGGUUUAUGCCUAGUCCCAGACUAAAAUGCAUGUUUGAGCUAUCUUAACUGAAAGCAACUUACACUUAUCUUAAUUUUGUCUCAAGAUGCGCACCAGUAAUGUUUUUGUUUCUAAGGCAUUAUAAAAGCUUCUAAAAUGUCCUAAUUUAACUAAGGCCUAAUUCUGGCUUAAUCUAAGCCCUGUCUGUGAAACUAUAGGCCUAAAAUUACUAAAACUGAAAUAAAAAUGACCUAAAGAUAUAGAAAUAUAUAUUAUAAACGGAUAGUUCCGGCCCUUGAUUCUGACUGGUUGAGCCUCAUUCGUAGCCAUUGUAAAAUUCACGAAAACACAGCUGUCCGCAUUACAUAAGUAUUGCUGCGCUACUGAGUGUGUAUGUUGCUGCGUCUGUCUUAGCAACCACUCUUAGCAACGUAAAAACAUAUGUUUGUUCUCUAUUGAUUUUGUUCAUUUAAGCUUACUGCAUUACGUAGAAGAGUAUUGUGAGAGAGAUAUCGAGUGACUGAGUAUAUUACCUGCAUUCAAAUUUAGCAUUUUUCUUCAGGUCAGUCCUAUGUUCAUAAUAAAAAUUUGAAUGUCUGCUGCGAUCUUGUCCUUUUAACAUUUAAUAGGUUUUCCCGUGCCCUGCUGACACCGACAGCGCUAGUCAAAGCCUUUGUCAUUUGUGUCUU